Molecule: ribosomal RNA, 842 nt
Filed under: Wingfieldomyces cyperi
Lineage: Eukaryota; Fungi; Ascomycota; Dothideomycetes; Pleosporales; Phaeosphaeriaceae
Description: partial 28S nribosomal RNA
Rfam family: Eukaryotic large subunit ribosomal RNA
Source: RNAcentral
UGCCCUAGUAACGGCGAGUGAAGCGGCAACAGCUCAAAUUUGAAAUCUGGCUCUUUUAGGGUCCGAGUUGUAAUUUGCAGAGGGCGCUUUGGUGUUGGCAGCGGUCCAAGUUCUUUGGAACAGGACGUCACAGAGGGUGAGAAUCCCGUACGUGGUCGCUAUCCUUCACCGUGUAAAGCCCCUUCAAUGAGUCGAGUUGUUUGGGAAUGCAGCUCUAAAUGGGAGGUAAAUUUCUUCUAAAGCUAAAUAUUGGCCAGAGACCGAUAGCGCACAAGUAGAGUGAUCGAAAGAUGAAAAGCACUUUGGAAAGAGAGUCAAAUAGCACGUGAAAUUGUUGAAAGGGAAGCGCUUGCAGCCAGACUUGCCUGUAGUUGCUUAUCUAGACUUUUGUCUAGUGCACUCUUCUAUAGGCAGGCCAGCAUCAGUUUUGGCGGUUGGAUAAAGGUCUCUAUCACGUACCUCUCUUCGGGGAGGCCUUAUAGGGGAGACGUCAUGCAACCAGCUGGAACUGAGGUCCGCGCAUCUGCUAGGAUGCUGGCGUAAUGGCUGUAAGCGGCCCGUCUUGAAACACGGACCAAGGAGUCUAACAUCUAUGCGAGUGUUUGGGUGUCAAGCCCAUACGCGUAAUGAAAGUGAACGGAGGUGGGAACCUUUUAGGUGCACCAUCGACCGAUCCUGAUGUCUUCGGAAGGAUUUGAGUAAGAGCAUAGCUGUUGGGACCCGAAAGAUGGUGAACUAUGCUUGAAUAGGGUGAAGCCAGAGGAAACUCUGGUGGAGGCUCGCAGCGGUUCUGACGUGCAAAUCGAUCGUCAAAUUUGGGCAUAGGGGCGAAAGACUAAUCG